AGGUGCAGCCGAGCUGAGAGCCUCUGUGCCCGUCGAGGAGCAGCCUGGGGCUCCCGUGGAGGGUCCACUCCUUCAGCCAGCCCAGAAGCUGCGAGAGCUGGAGAGCACAGUCUUGGAGGGAAAGGGGUUCUUGAACAGAUGAGUCUUCUCAGCUCGAUGUCAGCCCAGGCCUUGCCCCGCGCUACAGCCUGAGCUCGCUCCUGCCUGGAACUGUGCUCCUUCCGUCCAGCCUGACUUUGUUGCUGAAUCAGCACAAACACGCAGUCAGGUCAGUGAACGGCCACUCGACGCCACAGCCGUGCAGGCGGGCGGCAUCCAUCCCGGUGGACACGUAGCCGCAGUCACUUCGGAUAAAACAACCCAAGAGGCAGACAUGAGGUGCAGCUGCCCAACUUCCCAUCAGCAGCCUCCGCUCUCCAUCCACCUCCUGUAACUCAGGGACCGAAACGCUCCCCCUCCUGGCCUCCACCUUAAAGCUUUGCUCAUUUACCUGGAAAAGUGGUGAAAAGCAGCAACAGGACCUGAAAGACUGAAAGUUGGUUUCCCCAUCGUCUCUCAUACUCUACAAGUCCUUCAGGGUCUCCUGACUUCUGCCGGACCCGGGGCCCGUGGGCUACCAUGAGAGCGCGCAGUCGGGUAACACAGCUCUGGACAUGGCCUUCCUACAGUGACUGUCGAACAGAUGACCCACAUCAAGAUGGAGCAGCGUGGGGAAACGGCAAUUUAACAGGUGAAUCGGCAAGUCUAGAAACACCGCAGGAAGGCCAAGACCCUUUUACAGAGUUAAAGACAACCACACUCACACAGUUUUUAGGAAUGCCUACGACGCAGAGCCACAGGGAAAAGAGAGCAAGCCCCUGCCCCAGAUGCAAGCUCCGGCUCCCAGCCCCUCGAAGGUGCAGGGGGAUGCCCAGAGCCCCCUGCUUGUCCACCUUCCCGCGCGGAAGCGCUGUCGAAGCUCUGGAGGUUCUGUGGUCCUUCUGCGGCCUCUGGUCAACAACACCCGCCCCCGCCGGUCUGGGAAGAGAUAUUAGACACUGCCUGUGAAGCUCCUGACCUCAUCGGAGAAAGUGCUCUGUGAAUCUGAGGGAUUAAAAAUAGAAGCGAAACCAGAAGACGUCUGAGCACAAGGGUGAAAAUUUCCUGUGCCGCUCGAUCAGCCGGCGUCUGACUGAAGAUGACAUCGCCGACAAGACACGAACCCCUCCUCAGCCCAGCUCUGCCGCAUCCUGGCUAUGUGAUCUCGGACGGCCAGCCCCCGCCGGUCCCUCGUCUGUAAGAGGUGCCCGCACGCGGACCCAGCAUAACGACGCUGCACGGACGUGUUAGCGCCUCAAUCGCUGGCCCGUGGGCAGAUCAAGACCCUGCAGGACUCGCUUCCUUGUUCCGACACAGCCACCUCCAAAGCAGCUUUCCCGGAAGGACCAGGACUGCACGAUGUCAUCACAAGCAGACGCAAGCCCGAGGAGAGAACUGACAAAGGAGACUGUCCCCACACCCCUGGGCUCAGGGACCAAGUGGCGCUGGCCACACAGGGCCUGCCCUCGGCGCACAGCGGCCACCGCACACUUGCCCGCAGGGUAAAUGCAGGGGCCCGGCAUUUGCCAAGACUCUGAGCCGAGGAAACAGAGGCCGGCCCCAGGACUCAGGCAUCUGCUAAUCUGUGCUGUGUCAGAUUUUUCUCCUCGUGAAUAGUUUCAGAUAUAGAGAACGCUUAAGAAAAAUAACCCAUUGCACUUGA
Odocoileus virginianus texanus is the source of this 1741-nucleotide non-coding RNA. NCBI's taxonomy places the organism in Eukaryota, Metazoa, Chordata, Mammalia, Artiodactyla, Cervidae. The record is from RefSeq and is a predicted model, not a curated record.